GACGAACGCUGGCGGCGUGCUUAACACAUGCAAGUCGAACGAUGAAGCUAGAGCUUGCUCUGGUGAAUUAGUGGCGAACGGGUGAGUAACACGUGAGUAACCUGCCCCGAACUCUGGGAUAACUGCUGGAAACGGUAGCUAAUACUGGAUACGACCUACGAAGGCAUCUUCUGUAGGUGGAAAGAAUUUCGGUUCGGGAUGGACUCGCGGCCUAUCAGCUUGUUGGUGAGGUAAUGGCUCACCAAGGCGGCGACGGGUAGCCGGCCUGAGGGGGUGACCGGCCACACUGGGACUGAGACACGGCCCAGACUCCUACGGGAGGCAGCAGUGGGGAAUAUUGCACAAUGGGCGCAAGCCUGAUGCAGCAACGCCGCGUGAGGGAUGACGGCCUUCGGGUUGUAAACCUCUUUUAGUAGGGAAGAAGCGAAAGUGACGGUACCUGCAGAAAAAGCACCGGCUAACUACGUGCCAGCCGCCGCAGUAA
Molecule: ribosomal RNA, 484 nt
Filed under: uncultured bacterium
Lineage: Bacteria
Description: partial 16S ribosomal RNA
Rfam family: Bacterial small subunit ribosomal RNA
Source: RNAcentral